Molecule: ribosomal RNA, 437 nt
Filed under: uncultured Oscillospiraceae bacterium
Lineage: Bacteria; Bacillati; Bacillota; Clostridia; Eubacteriales; Oscillospiraceae
Description: bacterial SSU rRNA
Rfam family: Bacterial small subunit ribosomal RNA
Source: RNAcentral
ACGGAAGGCAGCAGUGGGGAAUAUUGGGCAAUGGGCGCAAGCCUGACCCAGCAACGCCGCGUGAAGGAAGAAGGCUUUCGGGUUGUAAACUUCUUUUAUCAGGGACGAAGGAAGUGACGGUACCUGACGAAUAAGCCACGGCUAACUACGUGCCAGCAGCCGCGGUAAUACGUAGGUGGCAAGCGUUAUCCGGAUUUACUGGGUGUAAAGGGCGCGUAGGCGGGGAUGCAAGUCAGAUGUGAAAUCUAUGGGCUUAACCCAUAAACUGCAUUUGAAACUGUAUCUCUUGAGUGUCGGAGAGGUAGAUGGAAUUCCUAGUGUAGCGGUGAAAUGCGUAGAUAUUAGGAGGAACACCAGUGGCGAAGGCGAUCUACUGGACGAUAACUGACGCUGAGGCGCGAAAGCGUGGGGAGCAAACAGGAUUAGAUACCCUGGUA